AACGAACGCUGGCGGCAUGCCUAACACAUGCAAGUCGAACGAGACCUUCGGGUCUAGUGGCGCACGGGUGCGUAACGCGUGGGAACCUGCCCUUAGGUUCGGAAUAACUCCCCGAAAGGGGUGCUAAUACCGGCUAAUAUCUUCGGACCAAAGAUUUAUCGCCUUUGGAUGGGCCCGCGUUGGAUUAGCUAGUUGGUAGUGUAAAAGCCUACCAAGGCGACGAUCCAUAGCUGGUCUGAGAGGAUGAUCAGCCACACUGGGACUGAGACACGGCCCAGACUCCUACGGGAGGCAGCAGUGGGGAAUAUUGGACAAUGGGCGAAAGCCUGAUCCAGCAAUGCCGCGUGAGUGAUGAAGGCCUUAGGGUUGUAAAGCUCUUUUACCCGGGAUGAUAAUGACAGUACCGGGAGAAUAAGCACCGGCUAACUCCGUG
RNAcentral lists this ribosomal RNA (433 nucleotides) under uncultured bacterium. RNAcentral's name for it is "partial 16S ribosomal RNA". It matches the Rfam family "Bacterial small subunit ribosomal RNA", at positions 29 to 507 of the family's 1533-position model. The record is from RNAcentral.